ACAACUGAAAUAGAUUGUCCUUCCUUUGGUAAUGCUAUGAGCAUUAUUUAAAAGGAAAAAGGCUGCAGAAAUGCAGCCU
RNAcentral lists this unclassified non-coding RNA (79 nucleotides) under Photobacterium kishitanii. Its description in RNAcentral is "Tombus_3_IV". Lineage: Bacteria; Pseudomonadati; Pseudomonadota; Gammaproteobacteria; Vibrionales; Vibrionaceae. The record is from RNAcentral.